UACGUAGGUGGCAAGCGUUAUCCGGAUUUACUGGGUGUAAAGGGAGCGUAGACGGCCAGACAAGUCUGAAGUGAAAAUCCAGCGCUUAACGUUGGAAGUGCUUUGGAAACUGCCGGGCUAGAGUGCAGGAGGGGCAGGCGGAAUUCCUAGUGUAGCGGUGAAAUGCGUAGAUAUUAGGAGGAACACCAGUGGCGAAGGCGGCCUGCUGGACUGCAACUGACGUUGAGGCUCGAAGGCGUGGGGAGCAAACAGG
Molecule: ribosomal RNA, 253 nt
Filed under: uncultured bacterium
Lineage: Bacteria
Description: partial 16S ribosomal RNA
Rfam family: Bacterial small subunit ribosomal RNA
Source: RNAcentral